This 279-nucleotide unclassified non-coding RNA is filed under the name plant metagenome. RNAcentral's name for it is "partial contains small subunit ribosomal RNA, internal transcribed spacer 1, and 5.8S ribosomal RNA". The record is from RNAcentral.
UUUCCGUAGGUGAACCUGCGGAAGGAUCAUUAUCGUACAAAAAGGGAGGGGCCUUCGAGGGCUGUCGCUGACCUAUAAGACGUGCACACCCGCAUGUAUCCUCUUACAUAUUAAUUUACAGCACGCUUAGUGCAUCACCGUGUGGGCCCUCUUAGCCAUCAUAACGGAUCGGGGCUAGCGUUUGCACUCAAUUUCUCUUUUUCAAAGUGGAGAAAAACCGCUUUUAUACAAUAAAUACAACUUUCAACAACGGAUCUCUUGGUUCUCGCAUCGAUGAAA